GGGUAGCCAGCGGCGAGGCGGCUCUCUGGUCUGUAACUGACGCUAGAGGCUCGAAAGCGUGGGGAGCGAACAGGAUUAGAUACCCUGGUAGUCCACGCCGUAAACGAUGAGUGCUAAGUGUUGGAGGGUUUCCGCCCUUCAGUGCUGCAGCAAACGCAUUAAGCACUCCGCCUGGGGAGUACGACCGCAAGGUUGAAACUCAAAGGAAUUGACGGGGGCCCGCACAAGCGGUGGAGCAUGUGGUUUAAUUCGAAGCAACGCGAAGAACCUUACCAGGUCUUGACAUCCUUUGACCACUCUAGAGAUAGAGCUUCCCCUUCGGGGGCAAAGUGACAGGUGGUGCAUGGUUGUCGUCAGCUCGUGUCGUGAGAUGUUGGGUUAAGUCCCGCAACGAGCGCAACCCUUAUUGUUAGUUGCCAUCAUUUAGUUGGGCACUCUAGCGAGACUGCCGGUGACAAACCGGAGGAAGGUGGGGAUGACGUCAAAUCAUCAUGCCCCUUAUGACCUGGGCUACACACGUGCUACAAUGGGAAGUACAACGAGUUGCGAAGUCGCGAGGCUAAGCUAAUCUCUUAAAGCUUCUCUCAGUUCGGAUUGUAGGCUGCAACUCGCCUACAUGAAGCCGGAAUCGCUAGUAAUCGCGGAUCAGCACGCCGCGGUGAAUACGUUCCCGGGCCUUGUACACACCGCCCGUCACACCACGAGAGUUUGUAACACCCGAAGUCGGUGAGGUAACCUUUUUGGAGCCAGCCGCCUAAGGUGGGAUAGAUGAUUGGGGUGAAGUCGUAACA
Molecule: ribosomal RNA, 791 nt
Filed under: Enterococcus gallinarum
Lineage: Bacteria; Bacillati; Bacillota; Bacilli; Lactobacillales; Enterococcaceae
Description: bacterial SSU rRNA
Rfam family: Bacterial small subunit ribosomal RNA
Source: RNAcentral